RNAcentral lists this ribosomal RNA (441 nucleotides) under uncultured bacterium. Its description in RNAcentral is "partial 16S ribosomal RNA". It matches the Rfam family "Bacterial small subunit ribosomal RNA", at positions 339 to 795 of the family's 1533-position model. The record is from RNAcentral.
CUACGGGCGGCAGCAGUCGAGAAUCUUCCACAAUGGGCGAAAGCCUGAUGGAGCGACGCCGCGUGCGCGAAGAAGCCCUUCGGGGUGUAAAGCGCUUUUCUGUUUGAAGAAUUUUGACAUUAGAACAGGAAUAAGGGGCUGCUAAACUCGUGCCAGGCAGCAGCGGUAAGACGAGUGCCCCGAGCGUUGUCCGGAAUUACUGGGCGUAAAGCGUCUGUAGGGGGUCUGAUGCGUCUUUUGUUAAAUCUUGUUGCUCAACAACAGGGCUGCAAAGGAUACGGUCGGACUAGAGGAUGUGAGAGGCCAAUGGAACUCAGGGAGGAGGGGUGAUAUCCGUUGAUACUCUGAGGAACACCAAAGGCGAAGGCAUUUGGCUGGCGCAUUCCUGACCCUGAGAGACGAAAGCGUGGGUAGCGAACGGGAUUAGAUACCCGCGUAGUC